This 447-nucleotide ribosomal RNA is filed under the name uncultured bacterium. RNAcentral describes it as "bacterial SSU rRNA". It matches the Rfam family "Bacterial small subunit ribosomal RNA", at positions 28 to 521 of the family's 1533-position model. The record is from RNAcentral.
GACGAACGCUGGCGGCAUGCCUAAUACAUGCAAGUCGAACGAACUCUUCGGAGUUAGUGGCGCACGGGUGCGUAACGCGUGGGAAUCUGCCCUUGGGUUCGGAAUAACAGUUGGAAACGACUGCUAAUACCGGAUGAUGACGAAAGUCCAAAGAUUUAUCGCCCAGGGAUGAGCCCGCGUAGGAUUAGCUAGUUGGUGAGGUAAAGGCUCACCAAGGCGACGAUCCUUAGCNGGUCUGAGAGGAUGAUCAGCCACACUGGGACUGAGACACGGCCCAGACUCCUACGGGAGGCAGCAGUAGGGAAUAUUGGACAAUGGGCGAAAGCCUGAUCCAGCAAUGCCGCGUGAGUGAUGAAGGCCUUAGGGUUGUAAAGCUCUUUUACCCGAGAUGAUAAUGACAGUAUCGGGAGAAUAAGCCCCGGCUAACUCCGUGCCAGCAGCCGCCGC